Molecule: ribosomal RNA, 323 nt
Filed under: uncultured eukaryote
Lineage: Eukaryota
Description: partial 18S ribosomal RNA
Rfam family: Eukaryotic small subunit ribosomal RNA
Source: RNAcentral
CCCUUAGAUGUUCUGGGCCGCACGCGUGCUACACUGAGUGGAUCAGCGGGUCAGGUUGCGCGAAAGCGUUUCCUAAUCUUUAAAUCCGCUCGUGAUGGGGAUUGACGGUUGCAAUUUUCUGUCAUGAACGAGGAAUACCUUGUAAGCGCGGGUCAUCAUCCCGCGCUGAAUACGUCCCUGCCCUUUGUACACACCGCCCGUCGCUCCUACCGAUUGAAUGGUCCGGUGAAGCGUUUGGACUAUGGUUUUCUGAUGGUCCGCCGUUGGAUUACCGUGGGAAGUUCGUUAAACCUUAUCAUUUAGAGGAAGGAGAAGUCGUAACA